AACUGCCCCUUGUUGGAGCCUUGGAACAAAAGUAGACCAAAGCUUCCCCUACAAGCAUCAGACAUACAGGAGGAACAAAAUUUGACUUCACCAGAUUCAAACAAAACCAGUAAUGAAAUUCAAAAUGUGAUUCCUCCAACCAAUUCUCGUCCCCAGUGCAAUUACUGCGGUACGUUUGCAAGCCUAUACUAGCUCCAUGCAUUUGAAUGUAUGCCAGCCUAUGAAGCCUAGAUACGAGAUACGAUACGGAUACGAUACGACACAGAUACGAAGAUACGGAAAAUUUUUAAAAUUAAAGAUACAAUACGUCUUGGAUACGUUAAUAAAACAUAUAAAAAGUUAUAUAUAGUUUCAGAUUUUUUUUCUAGAACAGUUUGAUUUUUCAUUGGAAUAGCUUCAAAUUCAUAUUAAAAAAUAAAACAUGAAAAAUCAGGACAUAAUAUCAAUGUUGCCUAGACUAGAAAAUGAUAUGAAGCUUGAGAUUUAGAAUUCUGAUAUGAAGCUGCAUGUUCAAAACAAAAGUAAAAAUACGAAAAAUGGGAACCCCAACGUCCAACAGGAUACCUCGUUUCCAACACAGGCAAUUGAUGGACAACCCAUGAUCACCCCAUUAUCUUUUCUGGACUCACGACGCCGUUCCAAUGAUGACGCCGCUCCAUGGGAAGUACUGGUCCAGUGGCAAUGAUUAUCCCCGGACGACACCUCUUGGGAAGAUUGGGAGCAGUUGCGUGACACAUAUCACCUUGAGGACAAGGUGCUUUUCCAAAGACCAGGGAAACCAAAUUGAUAGGUGCAGGGGAUGUCUGGCUUUGAGGACCAGUGCCUCCAGAACUAAGAAAGGAGAAGAGAAUUGCAAUAAAAAGGAAAAGUAUUAUUUUCAUAUCUUGAUUGUUUGAUUACAUAGGUAUUUAUAACAAUUCCUAAUAACAAAUUUUGGACUGGCUUGUGUGCAGGAAUAUUCCUAUAACAGAAUUAGUUUGUAUUUGUCUGGCUGAGAGAGACAAUUCCAAUCAAGCUAGAUAUGGAGUAGUGCUAGCUGAAUUUGCUGAAGAUUCAAUCCCUGGUUUACCCUUAUGCGUAAUCAUCCAAGUAUGCGGGCCUUGUCACCUUUCGUUUGGGCUUCUCUACUAACUGCAACCUCUGUUCAUCCUUGUUGGUAAGUUCCUUCCUUGUCCCUGUGUCUAUGUUUGAGAUCUCUGUUGCUCUAUCAUUGGUGCAAAAUUUAAAAUUGGAGAUAUGGUAAGUGUAGGAUGCAUGAUUGGAUAUUGUCACUAAUAAGCUCUAACGAUGAUCUUGAGAGUUAUUGCUCCCAAGCGAUUCUUACAUAUGAAGUAUUGGAGUGAGUGAGAUAAAGUCCUAUACAUCAUGAAAAAAUUUG
This 1378-nucleotide long non-coding RNA is filed under the name Glycine max (soybean). Its description in RNAcentral is "long non-coding RNA (GMAX_LNC004216)". The record is from RNAcentral. Lineage: Eukaryota; Viridiplantae; Streptophyta; Magnoliopsida; Fabales; Fabaceae.